CGUGAGCAACCUGCCCUGGACUCUGGGAUAAGCGCUGGAAACGGCGUCUAAUACUGGAUAUGAGACAUGAUCGCAUGGUCGUGUUUGUAAAGAUUUUUCGGUUUGGGAUGGGCUCGCGGCCUAUCAGCUUGUUGGUGAGGUAAUGGCUCACCAAGGCGUCGACGGGUAGCCGGCCUGAGAGGGUGACCGGCCACACUGGGACUGAGACACGGCCCAGACUCCUACGGGAGGCAGCAGUGGGGAAUAUUGCACAAUGGGCGCAAGCCUGAUGCAGCAACGCCGCGUGAGGGAUGACGGCCUUCGGGUUGUAAACCUCUUUUGGUAGGGAAGAAGCCUUCGGGUGACGGUACCUGCAGAAAAAGCGCCGGCUAACUACGUGCCAGCAGCCGCGGUAAUACGUAGGGCGCAAGCGUUAUCCGGAAUUAUUGGGCGUAAAGAGCUCGUAGGCGGUCUGUCGCGUCUGCUGUGAAAUUCCGAGGCUCAACCUCGGGCUUGCAGUGGGUACGGGCAGACUAGAGUGCGG
Molecule: ribosomal RNA, 523 nt
Filed under: Microbacterium aquimaris
Lineage: Bacteria; Bacillati; Actinomycetota; Actinomycetes; Micrococcales; Microbacteriaceae
Description: bacterial SSU rRNA
Rfam family: Bacterial small subunit ribosomal RNA
Source: RNAcentral